UACAGAGGUCUCGAGCGUUGUUCGGAUUCAUUGGGCGUAAAGGGUGCGUAGGUGGCGCUGUAAGUCGGGUGUGAAAUCCUGAGGCUUAACCUCGGAACUGCAUUCGAUACUGCGGCGCUUGAGGACUGGAGAGGAGACUGGAAUUCAUGGUGUAGCAGUGAAAUGCGUAGAUAUCUGGAGGAACACCGGUGGCGAAGGCGGCGUUCUGGACUGCAUCUGACACUGAGAGACGAAAGCCAGGGGAGCAAACGGG
RNAcentral lists this ribosomal RNA (253 nucleotides) under uncultured bacterium. RNAcentral describes it as "partial 16S ribosomal RNA". It matches the Rfam family "Bacterial small subunit ribosomal RNA", at positions 524 to 776 of the family's 1533-position model. The record is from RNAcentral.